RNAcentral lists this ribosomal RNA (681 nucleotides) under Streptomyces sp. 13CM21. Its description in RNAcentral is "bacterial SSU rRNA". It matches the Rfam family "Bacterial small subunit ribosomal RNA", at positions 82 to 777 of the family's 1533-position model. The record is from RNAcentral. Lineage: Bacteria; Bacillati; Actinomycetota; Actinomycetes; Kitasatosporales; Streptomycetaceae.
CGGUGGUGGAUUAGUGGCGAACGGGUGAGUAACACGUGGGCAAUCUGCCCUUCACUCUGGGACAAGCCCUGGAAACGGGGUCUAAUACCGGAUAACACUCUGUCCCGCAUGGGACGGGGUUGAAAGCUCCGGCGGUGAAGGAUGAGCCCGCGGCCUAUCAGCUUGUUGGUGGGGUAAUGGCCUACCAAGGCGACGACGGGUAGCCGGCCUGAGAGGGCGACCGGCCACACUGGGACUGAGACACGGCCCAGACUCCUACGGGAGGCAGCAGUGGGGAAUAUUGCACAAUGGGCGAAAGCCUGAUGCAGCGACGCCGCGUGAGGGAUGACGGCCUUCGGGUUGUAAACCUCUUUCAGCAGGGAAGAAGCGAAAGUGACGGUACCUGCAGAAGAAGCGCCGGCUAACUACGUGCCAGCAGCCGCGGUAAUACGUAGGGCGCAAGCGUUGUCCGGAAUUAUUGGGCGUAAAGAGCUCGUAGGCGGCUUGUCACGUCGGAUGUGAAAGCCCGGGGCUUAACCCCGGGUCUGCAUUCGAUACGGGCUAGCUAGAGUGUGGUAGGGGAGAUCGGAAUUCCUGGUGUAGCGGUGAAAUGCGCAGAUAUCAGGAGGAACACCGGUGGCGAAGGCGGAUCUCUGGGCCAUUACUGACGCUGAGGAGCGAAAGCGUGGGGAGCGAACAGGA